Long non-coding RNA from Ceratina calcarata, 3801 nucleotides. RefSeq lists it as uncharacterized. The transcript is spliced from 3 exons. NCBI's taxonomy places the organism in Eukaryota, Metazoa, Arthropoda, Insecta, Hymenoptera, Apidae. The record is from RefSeq and is a predicted model, not a curated record.
UUUUGACGUUCCCAGAUGAAUCGAGCUUUAAAGUAUCGCGAUAAACGACGAACGGGAUUCGCCAUGCAGAAACGGGUCAACGAGGUUAUCUUACACAGGGAUAAAAAAACGUGCUCGGAAUGCGAUUUUUAAUAUGUAUAGAAUACGGCCAUCGAUCUUCAACUUAUUUGCUCUGUCAACAAGAGAAGUAGAGGCACAGACCUGAAUUAAAUACAAUUUCAUAUACUCAUUUUAUAAAUACAAUAUCUUCUACAUUUCUAUUACAUUUUGCUAACUGCAAUAAUAUUUCAUAGAGAAUUCUCUUCAAUUUUUUUGAUAAUUUUAUUUGUACAAUACUCUUUCAUAAUGUAUAGAGGAAAUAAAGGUGAGAAGCUAAUUAUCGAAUUUUACUACAUAAAAUAUACUACGCUUACUGCAACGAUAUUUUACACAUAACAUAUUUUAUCAUUCAGACAGCGAUUUAUAUGCACAUGUACAUUAGAUACCUGAUAGAAAUCCUUAGCUUCUGCUUGUGCAUACAUAAUUAACGAUAUUGAUGACAUUCUACGAUGAAAGUCGCGGUCAUCUAUCACUCUGCUCGUCAAUCUUUAUCGACCGAGGAAAGCAAAACAAAACGCGAUGCAAAGAUGAAUUUAUUCGAAAAUUAAGUGAUGCAAUCUCACCUUAUCUUAAGUGCUAUUGAAUGUAGCUAUAUUAUCAUUAUUUAAGCAAUACGAUCAGAUAGCUUAGGAAUUUAAACUACCGGUUGAUGAAAUCAUUACUCGAACAAUUUUCGCAACAAAUAGUAUGGUAUACUUUCCUAGGUCUAUUUUGGAAGUGUAUUAAUUCUACUCAAAUGAUAGAUCUUAUGUAUAUCCAUUACGGGAUCAUUUUUAAGUAGUUAUUCUUCUCAAAGUUCGAUAUUAUUUUUAUUUAAUCUUUAGCAGGAAAAACAAAGUGACGCAAAGUUAAUAUGUACAUUUCAAUCUUCCGUUCGCACCUGUCGGAGUGUACCGGAUGCCGGUCAGACAACAGCGAGUGCACUGAGUAUUAAAGGCAUCAAGGUGUCCAUGUACCUUUAAGCCUACUUAAUCUUAAGAUUCGCGUUCUGCUUUAAAUCUGAACCCUUGCCUCGAAUUGGAUUAUUCAUAAAAAUUUUACAAGAACAAGAUAUAUCAAUUUAUGGUGACAAACUAUUGUGAUAGAGUGUGAUAAUCUAACGCACAUCGGACAUCGCUUUAAUAGACUCGUUUUAUUGCCCAGUUUGGUCAACAAGCAAUUUCGAGUCGGUAGGUAGACCAAACCCGGUCCUAUCUCAAGCUGUUACGAGCCUUUUGAACAGCGCGUCUACAUCUCAAGUGGAAAUAAAUCUGCCAGCCUUCGUAACUCUUUCUACCACUUCCCGCCUUUGCCCGAAAAAGGGGUCCUAGUCGUAAAAUGCCUUAAUACAUUUAGUGUGUCGAGAAAAUGUUCUCGAAACACGUGUUGCCAUUAAAAAUUUUAGUGAAGUCAAGAAAUUAGAGGUAAUGUAAAGCAGCUUACUGCCUUACUUGUUUACGAGAUUGGAGGAAACGAACGAUCUCAUGAAUAUCAAUAUAAAAAAUAGCUAUUGAUAAUUAUAUAAACCCUCUUAUUACUUUUCUUCUUAAUACAACCGCAAAAAGAUAUAAAACUGCAUGAAAUUGGAAAGCCUGCAAUUAUCCCCAAAAUUGUCUUCCGACAAGCGAUGUUAUAAGCGAGACCUUGAUGAAACCUUGAGCGGCGAGCCAGGUGGCAUCCUCCAGGAUUCGAUCGAUCCCUCGACAGUGCGGUGGGUACGACCUUGUCCGUAGGUGCUCCGCGAAGUGGAAGGCGGCUCGAGCUAAAAGGGUCGAUGACGAGAGAGUUCGGAAAUGCGCGUCCCACGUAGGAGGACGAAGCGAACAGAAAUUGAGGGGAGAGAGGCCGGAUGGAUAGUGGUUCAGCAGCAGCAGCAGCAGCAGCAGCAGCAGCAGCAGUAGAAGGUGAAGAGGAAGAAGAAGAAAGAAGGGCCGGGCGAAAGCUCAGGUGUUCCGUUUCUCGGGCCACGGACUCAUCCGUACGACGCGACGGUUUGGCGAACUCGUUGUUGGUGAACCGACGCGACGGUUCACGAUAUCCGUUCUCAUCUUCGCCCCACUGGUGCAUCUCGCGUCCGUCUGCACGCCCACGCUACCGGAGGACUCCUUAAAGUCCUACUCACAAGCAAAAUACUUGCGGCUAUCAGUUUGCCUUGCCAACCAGUUAGCGACGAUUGAUUUAUAUCUUCUUUAUUUUUUUCCCUCUUUUCCUUCGUGCUUUUACUUUUCCCUUUGUUCCUUAGUGCUUCUACAUUAGAUAAAUGUGUUAUUCUCGUAGAGAGCAGUGUUUAUGAUAAUUCAUGAAUUUGAAAUGGAAAAUUAAGAUAAGACGAUACAUCAAUAUUAUGAGAAUAUUUAUUUUAUUUAUAAUUCCGUAACAUUUUAUAAUGAUAUUCACAAUACAUGAAAGUAUGAUGUAUAAUAUAGGUAUUAAUUGUGGACUUAUAAUAUUACAUUCUAUAAUCUGUAAUUUGUGUAUGACCAAACUUGAUGAUGAAGUGAAUGAAUAUUAACAAUUUAAUACUUGAAAUUUGAGAUAUUGCAUAUAUCAUAAUUAAAACAGGAGUAUUAGGCAACGUGAAAUGUUAUCACGUACUUUGCAGUAAUGCAACAAGAACAAAUUCUUAGAAAAUCAGUAGAGCACGUGCUUUUGCGUUUGGUAACAGGCUAACAGGUGAAUUUACGUCCUAGCAGAUUCCAUUAGACUGCAGCGCUAUAGAAUUGUGACACAGCUUUCCUCAUUGGUAUGGACAACUGUGUUGCCCUUUUUUAUUGAGAACACCGACAGCGAUACUAAUUAUUUCCCGCCAUUAGGAACAGCGUUUAUCGUGCGACUGGACUACGUUCCAGCGGUCAUAAUGAAUCUAUUUUGCAAAGCCGUCUUUUCUUGCUCCGAACGUGAUACUCCUUAAUUGGUUUCUGUUUUCCACAGUAAGAUAUCUCAGGUACAGAUCGAUAAUUAUAAACCUGAUCCGAUUUUAAAGUACAGCCGUAGAUAUGUUGCAAUGAUGAUUUACGUUAAAUACCUUAGAAAAACGUACCAUUAACAAAUAUAUUCAUAAUUAAUCACGUAUUGAUUCAUACUCCAUUAGAUUUUACUUUUCUUGUCAAUUUCUUAUGUUCUAAAACAUGUCAAACAAAUUCUGCGGUUCGCACUCACUUUUAAUCGUUUGUUACAAUACAAUAUGUAAGUUGAAUCUGAUAUUUGAGAUAUUUGCCGUUAAAUGUAUUAUCACGGUAAUGCGAUUAAAACGACGUGUGCAGCGUCGAACGGCCCUUAGCCCCUGGCAAAUCGCACGUACAUAUACCAAUGCAGACAACACGAACGCGACGAGCCUACUCGUGUUGAAUGCAGAUCGCAGAUCUGCCGUGCAAUUCAAUAUGAGUAAAGGAGAUCCUCGAGAGGUACGAGCAAUUAUGACGACUACGAUUUCAUUACAUCAUUCCUAAGUGAAUCAGCUCUCGCGUGAUAAAGUACCGUCCCUGCAAUCUACUUCACUUAUGCUUGUGUUAAGAGAUGGCCAUCAAUCGACACUGAGAUUUUUUAAUUAUGCCAACUAUGGUAAUAGUUCGCAUUCGAUUUAUAAGGACAUGUAUAUUGCAAAAAAUCACUGUGCGUAUUUAAUAGUUUGAAUAGUAACUGCGAUGUUGCUUACGCAAUGGGACAACUUUAAAUAUUUAUGAUAAAAAGUAUAAACAAUAUAGGUACUAUUAAUUUUAUUAA